This 303-nucleotide ribosomal RNA is filed under the name uncultured bacterium. RNAcentral describes it as "partial 16S ribosomal RNA". It matches the Rfam family "Bacterial small subunit ribosomal RNA", at positions 507 to 807 of the family's 1533-position model. The record is from RNAcentral.
AGCAGUCGCCGCGGUAAUACGAGGGGUGCAAGCGUUAUUCGGAUUGAUUGGGUGUAAAGGGUGUGCAGACGGCUUAUUAAGUCACUUGUUAAAUUCUUCGGCCUAACUGAAGGUCUGCAAGUGAUACUGAUGAGCUAGAGGGUGGAAGAGAGAAGUGGAAUUCUCGGAGUAGCGGUAAAAUGCGUAGAUCUCGAGAGGAACACCAAUGGCGAAGGCAGCUUCUUGGUCCAUUCCUGACGUUCAUACACGAAAGCGUGGGGAGCAAACAGGAUUAGAUACCCCCGUAGUCCCUGUCUCUUAUAC